GAUGAAGAACGUAGCGAAAUGCGAUAAGUAAUGUGAAUUGCAGAAUUCAGCGAAUCAUCGAAUCUUUGAACGCACAUUGCGCCCCCCGGCAUUCCGGGGGGCAUGCCUGUUCGAGCGUCUCCAGGACGAAUCCUCGCGCGAGUGAACGCGCGGUCGUGGCGGAGGUGGCGUGCCCGAGCAGGGCGGCCACCGCGCUGGAAUCCAUGGGCGGACGCCUGCCGCGUGGCCGAGCGUGAUAUGACGCAUUGGCGCUCGUGCGCGGCGAGGCUGCCAGCCCUGGCCCGUCUGUCGGGCGGGGUAGAUCACCACGUGGGAACUCCUCGAAUCAGGUAGGGAUACCCGCUGAACUUAAGCAUAUCAAUAAGCGGAGGA
RNAcentral lists this unclassified non-coding RNA (372 nucleotides) under soil metagenome. RNAcentral describes it as "partial contains 5.8S ribosomal RNA, internal transcribed spacer 2, and large subunit ribosomal RNA". The stretch from base 1 to 120 matches the Rfam family "5.8S ribosomal RNA", at positions 35 to 154 of the family's 154-position model. The record is from RNAcentral.